AACUUUCAGCAACGGAUCUCUUGGCUCUCGCAUCGAUGAAGAACGCAGCGAAAUGCGAUAAGUAAUGUGAAUUGCAGAAUUCAGUGAAUCAUCGAAUCUUUGAACGCACCUUGCGCUCCUUGGUAUUCCGAGGAGCAUGCCUGUUUGAG
Molecule: ribosomal RNA, 149 nt
Filed under: Trametes coccinea
Lineage: Eukaryota; Fungi; Basidiomycota; Agaricomycetes; Polyporales; Polyporaceae
Also listed under: 1 other name
Description: 5.8S ribosomal RNA
Rfam family: 5.8S ribosomal RNA
About the family: 5.8S ribosomal RNA (5.8S rRNA) is a component of the large subunit of the eukaryotic ribosome. It is transcribed by RNA polymerase I as part of the 45S precursor that also contains 18S and 28S rRNA.
Source: RNAcentral